CUACGGGACGCUGCAGUGGGGAAUCUUAGACAAUGGGCGCAAGCCUGAUCUAGCCAUGCCGCGUGAGUGAUGAAGGCCUUAGGGUCGUAAAGCUCUUUCGCCUGUGAUGAUAAUGACAGUAGCAGGUAAAGAAACCCCGGCUAACUCCGUGCCAGCAGCCGCGGUAAUACGGAGGGGGUUAGCGUUGUUCGGAAUUACUGGGCGUAAAGCGCACGUAGGCGGAUUAGAAAGUUGGGGGUGAAAUCCCGGGGCUCAACCUCGGAACUGCCUCCAAAACUCCUAGUCUAGAGUUCGAGAGAGGUGAGUGGAAUUCCAAGUGUAGAGGUGAAAUUUGUAGAUAUUUGGAGGAACACCAGUGGCGAAGGCGGCUCACUGGCUCGAUACUGACGCUGAGGUGCGAAAGUGUGGGGAGCAAACAGGAUUAGAUACCCCGGUAGUC
Molecule: ribosomal RNA, 439 nt
Filed under: uncultured bacterium
Lineage: Bacteria
Description: partial 16S ribosomal RNA
Rfam family: Bacterial small subunit ribosomal RNA
Source: RNAcentral